GGGAGCUACAUGGCCUUCUACGGUCUGGCCUCAGAGGUUACACAGCAUCAAUUCCACCCCCUCCCCGGGUUACCAGCGAGUCACAGGCCUGCCCAGGGUCAAGGCACAAGGUUCUAGAAGAGCACGUGGAGCGGGAGAUGCUAUCGUGGCCACGAGAUGUUCUAUCCAGACUCAAGCACAAAAGGUCCUCCCAGCCACUGGGCACCCAACCUCAGCCUUCUCCCCACUGGUGGGCCUGGAAUCUGGCCCACCCGGCUCAGCAGCUGUUACCU
Non-coding RNA from Kogia breviceps (pygmy sperm whale), 272 nucleotides. The record is from RefSeq and is a predicted model, not a curated record. Lineage: Eukaryota; Metazoa; Chordata; Mammalia; Artiodactyla; Physeteridae.